ACGAACGCUGGCGGCGUGCUUAACACAUGCAAGUCGAACGGAAAGGCCCUGCUUUUGUGGGGUGCUCGAGUGGCGAACGGGUGAGUAACACGUGAGUAAACUGCCCUUGACUUUGGGAUAACUUCAGGAAACUGGGGCUAAUACCGGAUAGGAGCUCCUGCUGCAUGGUGGGGGUUGGAAAGUUUCGGCGGUUGGGGAUGGACUCGCGGCUUAUCAGCUUGUUGGUGGGGUAGUGGCUACCAAGGCUUUGACGGGUAGCCGGCCUGAGAGGGUGACCGGCCACAUUGGGACUGAGAUACGGCCCAGACUCCUACGGGAGGCAGCAGUGGGGAAUAUUGCACAAUGGGCGGAAGCCUGAUGCAGCAACGCCGCGUGCGGGAUGACGGCCUUCGGGUUGUAAACCGCUUUCGCCUGUGACGAAGCGUGAGUGACGGUAAUGGGUAAAGAAGCACCGGCUAACUACGUG
Molecule: ribosomal RNA, 466 nt
Filed under: uncultured bacterium
Lineage: Bacteria
Description: partial 16S ribosomal RNA
Rfam family: Bacterial small subunit ribosomal RNA
Source: RNAcentral